This 432-nucleotide ribosomal RNA is filed under the name uncultured bacterium. RNAcentral's name for it is "partial 16S ribosomal RNA". It matches the Rfam family "Bacterial small subunit ribosomal RNA", at positions 29 to 506 of the family's 1533-position model. The record is from RNAcentral.
AACGAACGCUGGCGGCAUGCCUGACACAUGCAAGUCGAACGAGACCUUCGGGUCUAGUGGCGCACGGGUGCGUAACGCGUGGGAAUCUGCCCUUCGGUUGGGAAUAACUGAGAGAAAUUUCAGCUAAUACCUUAUAAUGUCUUCGGACCAAAGAUUUAUCGCCGAGGGAUGAGCCCGCGUAGGAUUAGGUAGUUGGUGGGGUAAUGGCCUACCAAGCCGACGAUCCUUAGCUGGUCUGAGAGGAUGAUCAGCCACACUGGGACUGAGACACGGCCCAGACUCCUACGGGAGGCAGCAGUGGGGAAUAUUGGACAAUGGGCGAAAGCCUGAUCCAGCAAUGCCGCGUGAGUGAUGAAGGCCUUAGGGUUGUAAAGCUCUUUUACCCGGGAUGAUAAUGACAGUACCGGGAGAAUAAGCUCCGGCUAACUCCGU